Molecule: non-coding RNA, 90 nt
Organism: Taeniopygia guttata (zebra finch)
Lineage: Eukaryota; Metazoa; Chordata; Aves; Passeriformes; Estrildidae
Source: RefSeq, a predicted model, not a curated record
CCAGGUGACACCAGGCGACAGCCAUGGCACCGUGCCAGGUCUGGGUGACUUCAGGUGACAUCCAGGUGACAUUGGGACACCAAGCCAGGU